GGGUUGUGAGGUUAAGCGACUAAGCGUACACGGUGGAUGCCCUGGCAGUCAGAGGCGAUGAAGGACGUGCUAAUCUGCGAUAAGCGCCGGUAAGGUGAUAUGAACCGUUAUAACCGGCGAUUUCCGAAUGGGGAAACCCAGUGUGACUCGUCACACUAUCAUUAACUGAAUCCAUAGGUUAAUGAGGCGAACCGGGGGAACUGAAACAUCUAAGUACCCCGAGGAAAAGAAAUCAACCGAGAUUCCCCCAGUAGCGGCGAGCGAACGGGGAGGAGCCCAGAGCCUGAAUCAGCAUGUGUGUUAGUGGAAGCGUCUGGAAAGGCGCGCGAUACAGGGUGACAGCCCCGUACACAAAAGCGCAUGUGCUGUGAGCUCGAUGAGUAGGGCGGGACACGUGGUAUCCUGUCUGAAUAUGGGGGGACCAUCCUCCAAGGCUAAAUACUCCUGACUGACCGAUAGUGAACCAGUACCGUGAGGGAAAGGCGAAAAGAACCCCGGCGAGGGGAGUGAAAAAGAACCUGAAACCGUGUACGUACAAGCAGUGGGAGCACCCUUUGGGGUGUGACUGCGUACCUUUUGUAUAAUGGGUCAGCGACUUAUAUUCUGUAGCAAGGUUAACCGAAUAGGGGAGCCGGAGGGAAACCGAGUCUUAAU
Molecule: ribosomal RNA, 654 nt
Filed under: Salmonella enterica
Lineage: Bacteria; Pseudomonadati; Pseudomonadota; Gammaproteobacteria; Enterobacterales; Enterobacteriaceae
Also listed under: 2 other names
Description: partial 23S ribosomal RNA
Rfam family: Bacterial large subunit ribosomal RNA
Source: RNAcentral